RNAcentral lists this ribosomal RNA (580 nucleotides) under Candidatus Saccharibacteria bacterium 32-49-10. Its description in RNAcentral is "bacterial LSU rRNA". It matches the Rfam family "Bacterial large subunit ribosomal RNA", at positions 1 to 499 of the family's 2925-position model. The record is from RNAcentral. Lineage: Bacteria; Candidatus Saccharimonadota.
AAAAGGUACUCAAGGGCACACAACGGAUGCCUAGACGUAUAUUACCGAUGAAGGACGUGGAAGACUGCGAUAAGCUUCGGGUAGCUGUCAACAAGCUAUGAUCCGGAGAUUUCCGAAUGGGGAAAAGGUUAUGUAGUGGGAACCAACUGAACUGAAACAUCUUAGUAGGUUGAGGAAGAGAAAGUAAAUAACGAUUCUCGGAGUAGUGGCGAGCGAAACGGGAUGAGCCCAAACCUUACAAGUUUUCAUCUGUUAGUUUACUAGCAGUUGAAUAAGCUGAUAGGCGAAUACUUAUAAGGGGUUGUGAUAUAACACAAGACCAAGUCAGAGUGCUUAAACUUCGGUUUAAGUCAUCUGAUUUGCGACCUAGCACUAUCAUGCCUAGGAUAAGGUAAAAAAAUAGCGUGGUUAGCAGAAUAGUUUGAAUGACUGACCAAAGGACGUGAAAGUCGUGUACGCGAAAACGACGCUGACCUUAUAUGUGUUUUAUCGAGUAGGGCGGGGCACGAGAAACCCUGUCUGAAUCCGGCUGGACCACCAGCCAAGGCUAAAUAUAAUAUACGAUCGAUAGUGAACUAGU